This 82-nucleotide transfer RNA is filed under the name Chlamydiia bacterium. RNAcentral's name for it is "tRNA-Tyr". It matches the Rfam family "tRNA". From Rfam's summary of the family: Transfer RNA (tRNA) molecules are approximately 80 nucleotides in length. Their secondary structure includes four short double-helical elements and three loops (D, anti-codon, and T loops). Lineage: Bacteria; Pseudomonadati; Chlamydiota; Chlamydiia. The record is from RNAcentral.
GGGGGUGUCGCAUAGUGGCCAAUUGCAUCGGACUGUAAAUCCGACGGCUUCGCCUUCGAUGGUUCGAAUCCAUCCACCCCCA